Molecule: ribosomal RNA, 402 nt
Filed under: uncultured Sphingomonas sp.
Lineage: Bacteria; Pseudomonadati; Pseudomonadota; Alphaproteobacteria; Sphingomonadales; Sphingomonadaceae
Description: bacterial SSU rRNA
Rfam family: Bacterial small subunit ribosomal RNA
Source: RNAcentral
UGGGGAAUAUUGGACAAUGGGCGAAAGCCUGAUCCAGCAAUGCCGCGUGAGUGAUGAAGGCCUUAGGGUUGUAAAGCUCUUUUACCCGGGAUGAUAAUGACAGUACCGGGAGAAUAAGCCCCGGCUAACUCCGUGCCAGCAGCCGCGGUAAUACGGAGGGGGCUAGCGUUGUUCGGAAUUACUGGGCGUAAAGCGCACGUAGGCGGCUUUGCAAGUUAGAGGUGAAAGCCCGGGGCUCAACUCCGGAAUUGCCUUUAAAACUGCAUCGCUAGAAUUGUGGAGAGGUAAGUGGAAUUCCGAGUGUAGAGGUGAAAUUCGUAGAUAUUCGGAAGAACACCAGUGGCGAAGGCGGCUCACUGGCCUGGUAUUGACGCUGAGGUGCGAAAGCGUGGGGAGCAAACA